AACCAGUAAGCUAAGCUAUAUAAAUUGGUAAAAAGACAGUUAGGUAAAAAAUAGCUUAUUAAUUUCCUUUAUAAAAGUAAAAUUUAAUAUAGGUGUAUUAUUAUAACAAUGGCUUUAUUACUGAAUCUGUGAUAUCUUUAAGGGAAACUGGGAUUGGAUACCCCAUUAUUUCUAGAAAUAAAUUAAAAAUAUUACCUGAGUACUACAAAUAAAAUAAUUUAAAACUCAAAGGACUUGGCGGUAUUUUAGACCACUUAGGGGAACCUGUCCUAUAAUCGACAAUCCGCGUUAAACCUUACCUUUUUUAGUAAUCAGCUUGUAUACCGUUGUCAUCAGGUAACUUUUAAAGAAAAGAGAAGUUAGCUAAUAAAUUUAUUAAAUUAAAAUGUCAAAUCAAGGUGCAGCUUAUAGAAAGGAAAGGAUGGGUUACAAUUAUUAAUUAUAAUACGAAUAUACAUAAUGUAAAAAGUUUGAAGGAGGACCUAAAAGUAAAUUUAUGUAUAUAAAUAAUUUGAACAAGGCUCUAAAAUGUGC
This 534-nucleotide ribosomal RNA is filed under the name Taranis sp. NP-2011. RNAcentral describes it as "partial 12S ribosomal RNA". Lineage: Eukaryota; Metazoa; Mollusca; Gastropoda; Neogastropoda; Raphitomidae. The record is from RNAcentral.